AACAUACCAAUUGUUGCCUCGGCGGAUCAGCCCGCUCCCGGUAAAACGGGACGGCCCGCCAGAGGACCCCUAAACUCUGUUUCUAUAUGUAACUUCUGAGUAAAACCAUAAAUAAAUCAAAACUUUCAACAACGGAUCUCUUGGUUCUGGCAUCGAUGAAGAACGCACCAAAAUGCGAUAAGUAAUGUGAAUUGCAGAAUUCAGUGAAUCAUCGAAUCUUUGAACGCACAUUGCGCCCGCCAGUAUUCUGGCGGGCAUGCCUGUUCGAGCGUCAUUUCAACCCUCAAGCCCCCGGGUUUGGUGUUGGGGAUCGGCGAGCCUCACGGCAAGCCGGCCCCGAAAUACAGUGGCGGUCUCGCUGCAGCUUCCAUUGCGUAGUAGUAAAACCCUCGCAACUGGUACGCGGCGCGGCCAAACCGUUAAACCCCCAACUUCUGAAUGUUGACCUCGGAUCAGGUAGGAAUACCCGCUGAACUUAACCAUAUCAAUAACCGGAGAAAAA
This 502-nucleotide ribosomal RNA is filed under the name Fusarium verticillioides. RNAcentral's name for it is "eukaryotic LSU rRNA". The stretch from base 121 to 274 matches the Rfam family "5.8S ribosomal RNA". The record is from RNAcentral. Lineage: Eukaryota; Fungi; Ascomycota; Sordariomycetes; Hypocreales; Nectriaceae.